This 387-nucleotide ribosomal RNA is filed under the name uncultured bacterium. Its description in RNAcentral is "bacterial SSU rRNA". It matches the Rfam family "Bacterial small subunit ribosomal RNA", at positions 30 to 417 of the family's 1533-position model. The record is from RNAcentral.
AUUGAACGCUGGCGGCAUGCUUUACACAUGCAAGUCGAACGGUAACAGGGUGCUUGCACCGCUGACGAGUGGCGAACGGGUGAGUAAUGCAUCGGAACGUACCCAGUCGUGGGGGAUAACGUAGCGAAAGUUACGCUAAUACCGCAUACGUCCUGAGGGAGAAAGCGGGGGACCGUAAGGCCUCGCGCGAUUGGAGCGGCCGAUGUCGGAUUAGCUAGUUGGUAGGGUAAAGGCCUACCAAGGCGACGAUCCGUAGCGGGUCUGAGAGGAUGAUCCGCCACACUGGGACUGAGACACUGCCCAGACACCUACGGGUGGCUGCAGUCGAGAAUAUUCCCCAAUGGCCGAAAGGCUGAGGGAGCGACGCCGCGUGCAGGAAUAAGGCCU